GUGCUUGCUUCAGCAGCAUAUAUACUAAAAUUGGAAUAAUACAGAAAAGAUUAGCAUGGACCCUGUGCAAGGAUGACAUGUAAAUUCAUGACGCUUUACAAAAAUGU
Molecule: small nuclear RNA, 107 nt
Organism: Prolemur simus (greater bamboo lemur)
Lineage: Eukaryota; Metazoa; Chordata; Mammalia; Primates; Lemuridae
Source: Ensembl